AUACGGAGGGGGCAAGCGUUAUUCGGAUUUACUGGGCGUAAAGGGUGCGUAGGCGGUUGCGCAAGUCUGGUGUGAAAGCUUCACCGCUCAACGGGAAGUGGUCACUAGAAACUGCGCGACUGGAGUGUGGUAGAGGCAGGCGGAAUUCCUGGUGUAGCGGUGGAAUGUGUAGAUAUCAGGAAGAACACCCGUGGCGAAGGCGGCCUGCUGGGCCACUACUGACGCUGAGGCACGAAAGCGUGGGGAGCAAACGGGAUUAGAAACCCCAGUAGUCC
This 275-nucleotide ribosomal RNA is filed under the name uncultured bacterium. Its description in RNAcentral is "partial 16S ribosomal RNA". It matches the Rfam family "Bacterial small subunit ribosomal RNA", at positions 523 to 796 of the family's 1533-position model. The record is from RNAcentral.